This 573-nucleotide ribosomal RNA is filed under the name Triticum aestivum (bread wheat). RNAcentral describes it as "partial small subunit ribosomal RNA". The record is from RNAcentral. Lineage: Eukaryota; Viridiplantae; Streptophyta; Magnoliopsida; Poales; Poaceae.
AUGAAACCUGACCCUGCUUUUGCUACUUCACCUAUCUGUGUUACUGAUAAGGAUUAUGAAUUCUCUGUUGAUCCUGAUAUGAUUACUUUGGUUGAAUCUGAUCCUUUUCAUGGCUAUGAAUCUGAAACUGUUGUGGCACAUCUUACUAAAUUAAAUGAUAUAGCCACCCUGUUCACUAAUGAUGAGAAAUCUUGCUACCUAUAUAUCCUUAAAAUAUUUCCGUUCUCAUUAAAGGGUGAUGCUAAGAUAUGGUUUAAUUCUCUUGAUCCUGGUUGUGUGCGUAGUCCCCAAGAUAUGAUUUAUUACUUCUCUGCUAAAUAUUUCCCUGCUCAUAAGAAACAAGCUGCUUUGAGGGAAAUAUACAAUUUUGUGCAAAUUGAAGAAGAGAGUCUCCCACGAGCUUGGGGAAGGCUUCUCAAGUUACUUAAUGCUUUGCCUGAUCAUCCUCUUAAGAAAAAUGAAAUACUUGAUAUCUUUUAUAAUGGACUAACCGAUGCUUCCAGAGAUUACCUGGAUAGUUGUGUUGGUUCUGUUUCAGGGAAAGAACACCGGAUGAAGCUGAAAUUCUAUUGA